GAAUGUGAAGGCAAUCUGGUUGUGACAUCUGUUACUCCAUUGAUUGCUAGGGUUGAUGCAGCUGAUAUGGCUGUGGAGGCGGGUGUCCCCUUCCUCCCUCACCACUCUAUGUGCAUCCCUCCUGAAGCUGCGCCCUCAAACAGGACGACCUUCCCCCAGUAGAAGAGGACUGGUCUUCAGUCAAGGGUAUACAAGUAGCUGCUCUCCCCUGUUAGAACCCUAAACAAGCUCUCAAGGGAUUGUUUAAGAGCUUAUUUGUACGGUUUUAUUUGCUUUUCACCAUUGGGGUUGAA
Molecule: small nuclear RNA, 293 nt
Filed under: Jaculus jaculus (lesser Egyptian jerboa)
Lineage: Eukaryota; Metazoa; Chordata; Mammalia; Rodentia; Dipodidae
Description: 7SK RNA (ENSJJAG00000004468.1)
Rfam family: 7SK RNA
About the family: 7SK was discovered as an abundant small nuclear RNA in the mid-70s but a possible function has only recently been suggested.
Source: RNAcentral